This 253-nucleotide ribosomal RNA is filed under the name uncultured bacterium. RNAcentral describes it as "partial 16S ribosomal RNA". It matches the Rfam family "Bacterial small subunit ribosomal RNA", at positions 524 to 776 of the family's 1533-position model. The record is from RNAcentral.
UACGUAGGGGGCAAGCGUUGUCCGGAAUCAUUGGGCGUAAAGAGCGUGUAGGCGGCUUGGUAAGUCCGCUGUGAAAGUCCAGGGCUCAACCCUGGAAUGCCGGUGGAAACUGUCAGGCUCGAGUCCGGAAGAGGCGAGUGGAAUUCCUGGUGUAGCAGUGAAAUGCGCAGAUAUCAGGAGGAACACCAAUGGCGAAGGCAGCUCGCUGGGACGGUACUGACGCUGAGACGCGAAAGCGUGGGGAGCAAACAGG